Molecule: ribosomal RNA, 253 nt
Filed under: uncultured bacterium
Lineage: Bacteria
Description: partial 16S ribosomal RNA
Rfam family: Archaeal small subunit ribosomal RNA
Source: RNAcentral
UACCAGCACCCCGAGUGGUCGGGACGAUUAUUGGGCCUAAAGCAUCCGUAGCCGGUUCUACAAGUCUUCCGUUAAAUCCAACUGCUCAACAGGUGGGCUGCGGAGGAUACUACAGAGCUAGGAGGCAGGAGAGGCAAGCGGUACUCAGUGGGUAGGGGUAAAAUCCGUUGAUCCAUUGAAGACCACCAGUGGCGAAGGCGGCUUGCCAGAAUGCGCUCGACGGUGAGGGAUGAAAGCUGGGGGAGCAAACCGG